Humulus lupulus (European hop) is the source of this 563-nucleotide long non-coding RNA. RefSeq lists it as uncharacterized. Lineage: Eukaryota; Viridiplantae; Streptophyta; Magnoliopsida; Rosales; Cannabaceae. The record is from RefSeq and is a predicted model, not a curated record. The transcript is spliced from 3 exons.
UUGUCUUUAAUAUAGUACAUAUAUUAUUAAUAUGUUUAAUUUUCAAUUUAGUACUAUUAUCAAAUAGCGGGCCGCGAGGAUUUCUUAAAGUGUUUAGAUGGUAUCGAUCGAGAGAUGAAAGACCGAUACCGUAAUAGGAAAACACUAAGACACGAACACUUUGAGAAACACUACAAUGGACCGGAGGAUUGGGAUAAGGUUCUAAACAACCCAACCAAUGAUGUUAAUAAGGAGGAGUGAAAGCAGAUCUGUCAGUUAUUUACAAGUCCACAAUUUAUUGCGCGCUCCAUAAAGAAUAAGGAAAAUCGGAAGAAACAAAAGUAUUCUACAACGCAGGGUACAAAAUCGCUGGCAGCCGUCCGUUUUGAAAAAACGAACCCGGACCUCAUUGAGUCAUGGAAGGAUUAUCAUUGGAAGAAAUCAACAAAUGAUUUCGUGAACGAUGAUGCUCGCCAAGAUUAUGAAAAACUGAAGGCUGAUUUUGAGUUACAAACUCAGCAAACAUCCACUGAUGCUUCUAAUAAUGAUAGUCUGUCAUCAGUUGAUCAGGUGGAGGUGCUACA